Molecule: transfer RNA, 88 nt
Filed under: Desulfuromonadales bacterium
Lineage: Bacteria; Pseudomonadati; Thermodesulfobacteriota; Desulfuromonadia; Desulfuromonadales
Description: tRNA-Ser
Rfam family: tRNA
About the family: Transfer RNA (tRNA) molecules are approximately 80 nucleotides in length. Their secondary structure includes four short double-helical elements and three loops (D, anti-codon, and T loops).
Source: RNAcentral
GGAGAGGUGACCGAGCGGCCGAAGGUGCACGACUGGAAAUCGUGUGCACUAAAAGGUACCGAGGGUUCGAAUCCCUCCCUCUCCGCCA